This 1343-nucleotide ribosomal RNA is filed under the name uncultured bacterium. RNAcentral describes it as "16S ribosomal RNA". It matches the Rfam family "Bacterial small subunit ribosomal RNA", at positions 28 to 1378 of the family's 1533-position model. The record is from RNAcentral.
GACGAACGCUGGCGGCGUGCUUAACACAUGCAAGUCGAACGGAAAGGCCCUGCUUUUGUGGGGUGCUCGAGUGGCGAACGGGUGAGUAACACGUGAGUAACCUGCCCUUGACUUUGGGAUAACUUCAGGAAACUGGGGCUAAUACCGGAUAGGAGCUCCUGCUGCAUGGUGGGGGUUGGAAAGUUUCGGCGGUUGGGGAUGGACUCGCGGCUUAUCAGCUUGUUGGUGGGGUAGUGGCUUACCAAGGCUUUGACGGGUAGCCGGCCUGAGAGGGUGACCGGCCACAUUGGGACUGAGAUACGGCCCAGACUCCUACGGGAGGCAGCAGUGGGGAAUAUUGCACAAUGGGCGGAAGCCUGAUGCAGCAACGCCGCGUGCGGGAUGACGGCCUUCGGGUUGUAAACCGCUUUCGCCUGUGACGAAGCGUGAGUGACGGUAAUGGGUAAAGAAGCACCGGCUAACUACGUGCCAGCAGCCGCGGUGACACGUAGGGUGCGAGCGUUGUCCGGAUUUAUUGGGCGUAAAGGGCUCGUAGGUGGUUGAUCGCGUCGGAAGUGUAAUCUUGGGGCUUAACCCUGAGCGUGCUUUCGAUACGGGUUGACUUGAGGAAGGUAGGGGAGAAUGGAAUUCCUGGUGGAGCGGUGGAAUGCGCAGAUAUCAGGAGGAACACCAGUGGCGAAGGCGGUUCUCUGGGCCUUUCCUGACGCUGAGGAGCGAAAGCGUGGGGAGCGAACAGGCUUAGAUACCCUGGUAGUCCACGCUGUAAACGGUGGGUACUAGGUGUGGGGUCCAUUCCACGGGUUCCGUGCCGUAGCUAACGCUUUAAGUACCCCGCCUGGGGAGUACGGCCGCAAGGCUAAAACUCAAAGGAAUUGACGGGGCCCCGCACAAGCGGCGGAGCAUGCGGAUUAAUUCGAUGCAACGCGUAGAACCUUACCCGGGUUUGACAUGGAUCGGGAGUGCUCAGAGAUGGGUGUGCCUCCUUUGGGGUCGGUUCACAGGUGGUGCAUGCCUGUCGUCAGCUCGUGUCGUGAGAUGUUGGGUUAAGUCCCGCAACGAGCGCAACCCUUGUUCACUGUUGCCAGCACGUUAUGGUGGGGACUCAGUGGAGACCGCCGGGGUCAACUCGGAGGAAGGUGGGGAUGACGUCAAGUCAUCAUGCCCCUUAUGUCCAGGGCUUCACGCAUGCUACAAUGGCUGGUACAGAGAGUGGCGAGCCUGUGAGGGUGAGCGAAUCUCGGAAAGCCGGUCUCAGUUCGGAUUGGGGUCUGCAACUCGACCUCAUGAAGUCGGAGUCGCUAGUAAUCGCAGAUCAGCAACGCUGCGGUGAAUACGUUCCCGGG